Molecule: long non-coding RNA, 2449 nt
Organism: Passer domesticus (house sparrow)
Lineage: Eukaryota; Metazoa; Chordata; Aves; Passeriformes; Passeridae
Exons: 4
Source: RefSeq, a predicted model, not a curated record
CAGCUCCUGACAAGAGGGGACAGCCAGGGGGUGGGGCUCUGCUCCCAGGAACAGGGACAGGACAAGGAGAAAUGGUCUCAAGGGAAAGCAGAAUGUUUUUGCAUCUUCUCCUGGAAGAUUGAAAUUCCCAUCUCCCUGGCUUCUCUGUAGUUGUUGAGAUGGGAGGAUCUUUCCUUAAUGGAAAGCCAGUGACCCUGGAGAGGAUCAGUGAUACUCCCCUAACUCCACUGGCUACAUCUGGAUAAACCUGAGGAUUUCACUUGGCUUUUCCACUCCUACAGGAUAUUGGAGUGCUGCAGUCACCCUGGUCAAAGAACCAGUGGUUGUACUUCAACGGGGCUUGCAAGACUCCUUGGAUAAUCUUUCCUCCAAGAUAAUGGGAGAAGUUGUCUCUUUUAGAAGUUUUCAGAAAUUCCUGCCACUCUGCUCUUGUCUCUGUGCUAAUCACUUAGGGAAGGACAGAGAUAUUUUCCCCUGAACUUUCAAAUAUCCAGUGGGACUAGAAAGCUACAGCCUCUUGAAACCCCUGUGUCUGAAUCUCACAAAUAAUCAUAAAAGACUUUGCCUGUUGUCUUGGCCAUGGCAAACUUCUCUUCAGACAACCAGAAAAUACAUCUUUCCUGUUAAUCUUCCUGCCUUUGUUGCCAGAGUCAUGGGUUAUGGUCUGUUUGUCCUGAGAAAAUGUUAUCUGAGUCAAUAUUUAGACAGAAUAAGCCUUAAUCACAACAUAGUUUUAUGCUUCAUUAAAGAGGUUUUCCAUUUGCUCCGUUCAGAAAAUAAUGCAGAUGUAUCAGAAGCAAACAAACCGGGUGGAUUUCCUAUUCAUGCAACAACUUCCUUCUUGCACAGAAAUACAGGACUGAUUGCUUGUGCAGAAAACUUCCUUUUCUUCCUUCAGAGGAGGAAGAGAGACAAUUUUCCCCACCCUCAGCAGUGUGGAUCUCUUGUUGGGUGGUGCCCAAGCCCUCCCACUGCUGCUGCUCAGACCCAGAAUGACCUGGACUGUUGUCCUCUUAGAUGCCGCCCAAAAAUGAUGCCCAGCUCUGCAGACCAUUCUGAACAACCUGCUUUUAGGAGUGGUCCCAGCCUUGGUGGAUUCCCAGGAAUGCAGCUCUGGCUGCCAGUCCCAUCCCAGCUUCAGAGGGGAAACACCCAGAGAAGAGCCACAGAAUCAUUUAAGUUGGAAAAGACCUCCAAGACCAUCAAGUCCAGCCUUUGGCUUGCCAAAUAAACCAUGGCCCUGAGUGCCACGUCCUUGAACCCCUCCAGGGAUGGUGACUCCAGCCUGGGCUGCCCCUUCCAGUGCAGACCAGACCAACAGGAGAAAGUUGCAGGGGAACUGGUGGUAGAGGGAGGCCAAGAAGUCAAAGCCUGUCCCCUUCUCCAGGGCAUGGAAGAGCAGAUGAUUUUUCCUGCAGUGCUCUGGAAAAAAAAAAAAAAAAUCUUUCAUCUCUUUCCUGAGAAAAGGCCAAUGCUGAGCCUAGCAGAUUAUUCAAUAACAUCCCAUAAAAAUAUUAAACUUCUAUAUUGGAACCAAAUUAAAAUUGUAUUUCAUGAUGUGAACAAAGGUACCCAAGUCGAUUUCGUCUCUGUCUCCCUCCUUUUUCAAAUUUAAUAUCACACAGAAGAGAGAAAUGAAAUCUGUAUUUAAAUGGCUGUGGAACAUUGUGCAUUUAAAGUGCACAGCAAGUCACUCCCUGAAGCACUCCAUAUGAUAUGUAAAUCUUUUGAUCUUUCACAAAAUGCAUGAUUUCCAUAAAGAAUAAUGAGUGCUAGCUUGGGAAGUACAAUAUUGACUGUCACUGUACUGCACUUAGCCACAAUUAUUAUUUGCAUGGCUUUUGCAACAUAACUGGAGGGGAGAGUCCUGUGAAUAUUUUUAAUGCAUUCUAAUAGCUACUAAAAGAGAUUUUAUUUUAUAAUAGGUGCAUUCUUUCUUUUGGGUCUACAAGCUUUUUCUUUUUCAAUUUAUUCAUUACCUUUUUUUUGCUCUUUAUAAGGAAGCAUCUAUGGGGAAAAUCAGAGGAGCACACAAGUCCUGAGCAAAGAGGCAAUUGACAUCCUGCCCUGCCAUGAGCUGCAGGAAAGCAGAGGAACCAACAAUAACAUUUAUUUAUUCUUGAAGCCAAUGGGUGAAGCUUAACUUGAGAAAGGAUCUGAGGUGUGAUCUGUGUGAGAGAGCUUGAAGUGAUCAUCACCCUUUGAGGUGUUUUUGGCUGGAUCCUCUGCAGGGUCUCCCGGGAAAUGCAUGAGCCCAGAGCCCUUGGAGGUGGGGAGCUGGAUCCUGUCGAGCCGAAGAAGAGAAUUCUCCCAUUUUUCUCAGGGAUCCCAUCAUCCUGUUUGUUCACCCAGGAGAUGGGAAGACCACAAGCUCAUGGUGCAGGAAAGAGAAGUAGAAAUAAGGCCUAUCACAAGCAUCACAUUAAAUAAAGGAAAAUUUAAGAACUAA